AGAACGAACGCUGGCGGCAGGCUUAACACAUGCAAGUCGAGCGCCUCGCAAGAGGAGCGGCAGACGGGUGAGUAACGCGUGGGAAUCUACCUAGUUCUACGGAACAACACAGGGAAACUUGUGCUAAUACCGUAUACGCCCUACGGGGGAAAGAUUUAUCGGAAUUAGAUGAGCCCGCGUAAGAUUAGCUAGUUGGUGGGGUAAUGGCCUACAAGGCGACGAUCUUUAGCUGGUCUGAGAGGAUGAUCAGCCACACUGGGACUGAGACACGGCCCAGACUCCUACGGGAGCAGCAGUGGGAAUAGUUGGACAAGUGGGCGCAAGCCUGAUCCAAGCCAUGCUGCGUGAGUGAUGAAGGUCCUUAGGUUAGUAAAGUCUCUUUCGAGUGGGGAACGAAUAAGUGAACCGGUACCCAACGAAGAAAGAACGCCCCCGGAUAACGUUCGCGCCAGC
Molecule: ribosomal RNA, 453 nt
Filed under: uncultured soil bacterium
Lineage: Bacteria
Description: bacterial SSU rRNA
Rfam family: Bacterial small subunit ribosomal RNA
Source: RNAcentral